AUGCAGUCGAGGGGCAGCGGGGAGGUAGCAAUACCUUUGCCGGCGACCGGCGCACGGGUGAGUAACACGUAUGCAAUCCACCUGUAACAGGGGGAUAACCCGGAGAAAUCCGGACUAAUACCCCAUAAUAUGGGCUCUCCGCAUGGAGGGUUCAUUAAAGAGAGCAAUUUUGGUUACAGACGAGCAUGCGCUCCAUUAGCCAGUUGGCGGGGUAACGGCCCACCAAAGCGACGAUGGAUAGGGGUUCUGAGAGGAAGGUCCCCCACAUUGGAACUGAGACACGGUCCAAACUCCUACGGGAGGCAGCAGUGAGGAAUAUUGGUCAAUGGUCGGCAGACUGAACCAGCCAAGUCGCGUGAGGGAAGACGGCCCUACGGAUUGUAAACCUCUUUUGUCGGAGAGUAAAGUACGCUACGUGUAGCGUAUUGCAAGUAUCCGAAGAAAAAGCAUCGGCUAACUCCGUGCCAGCAGCCGCGGUAAUACGGAGGAUGCGAGCGUUAUCCGGAUUUAUUGGGUUUAAAGGGUGCGUAGGCGGCACGCCAAGUCAGCGGUGAAAUUUUCGGGCUCAACCCGGACUGUGCCGUUGAAACUGGCGAGCUAGAGUGCACAAGAGGCAGGCGGAAUGCGUGGUGUAGCGGUGAAAUGCAUAGAUAUCACGCAGAACCCCGAUUGCGAAGGCAGCCUGCUAGGGUGCGACAGACGCUGAGGCACGAAAGCGUGGGUAUCG
This 727-nucleotide ribosomal RNA is filed under the name uncultured bacterium. Its description in RNAcentral is "bacterial SSU rRNA". It matches the Rfam family "Bacterial small subunit ribosomal RNA", at positions 55 to 770 of the family's 1533-position model. The record is from RNAcentral.